GAAGAUUAUGUGAUUGUGUGAACACCAUGAUGAGUAAUAUGAAUCAAAGCAUGUGCACAUCUUGACUAAAUUCUAUUGAUGAGCUGAUUUGAGUGAUUACUUAUCUUGAAAGAAAAAGUUUUGGAAAGAGUGGAACCAUUGUGAUGAUUUGUGGAAGACUAAGUUUCAUCUUGUUUGCUUGAGGACUAACAAAGUUCUAAGUUUGGGGUUG
RNAcentral lists this long non-coding RNA (211 nucleotides) under Vigna radiata. Its description in RNAcentral is "long non-coding RNA (VRAD_LNC002611)". Lineage: Eukaryota; Viridiplantae; Streptophyta; Magnoliopsida; Fabales; Fabaceae. The record is from RNAcentral.